RNAcentral lists this ribosomal RNA (375 nucleotides) under uncultured bacterium. RNAcentral describes it as "bacterial SSU rRNA". It matches the Rfam family "Bacterial small subunit ribosomal RNA", at positions 524 to 898 of the family's 1533-position model. The record is from RNAcentral.
GACGAACCGUGCGAACGUUGUUCGGAUUCACUGGGCUUAAAGGGCGCGUAGGCGGGCGAUCCAGUCGGGGGUGAAAGUUUUCGGCUCAACCGGAAAAGGGCCUCUGAUACGGGUCGUCUCGAGGGAGGUAGGGGCAUGCGGAACUUCCGGUGGAGCGGUGAAAUGCGUAGAUAUCGGAAGGAACGCCGGUGGCGAAAGCGGCGUGCUGGACCUCUUCUGACGCUGAGGCGCGAAAGCCAGGGGAGCGAACGGGAUUAGAUACCCCGGUAGUCCUGGCCCUAAACGAUGGGUACUAGGUAGUGGACUUGACAUGGGUUCACUGCCGAAGCCAAAGUGUUAAGUACCCCGCCUGGGGAGUAUGGUCGCAAGGCUGAA